RNAcentral lists this ribosomal RNA (373 nucleotides) under uncultured Spirochaeta sp. RNAcentral describes it as "bacterial SSU rRNA". It matches the Rfam family "Bacterial small subunit ribosomal RNA", at positions 1011 to 1382 of the family's 1533-position model. The record is from RNAcentral. Lineage: Bacteria; Pseudomonadati; Spirochaetota; Spirochaetia; Spirochaetales; Spirochaetaceae.
UGGCUUCCAUCUGGAAGAAUCUGGAGACAGGUGCUGCAUGGCUGUCGUCAGCUCGUGUCGUGAGAUGUUGGGUUAAGUCCCGCAACGAGCGCAACCCUAUCAUCUGUUGCCAGCAUUUAAGGUGGGGACGUCAGAUGAGACUGCCGGUGACAAACCGGAGGAAGUGGGGACGACGUCAAGUCAUCAUGGCCCUUAUGUCCUGGGCUACACACGUGCUACAAUGGCCGGUACAGAGUGAAGCGAAACCGCGAGGUGAAGCAAAACGCAGAAAGCCGGUCUCAGUACGGAUUGGAGUCUGAAACUCGACUUCAUGAAGUUGGAAUCGCUAGUAAUCGCGCAUCAGCAUGGCGCGGUGAAUACGUUCCCGGGCCUU